Molecule: ribosomal RNA, 493 nt
Filed under: uncultured bacterium
Lineage: Bacteria
Description: partial 16S ribosomal RNA
Rfam family: Bacterial small subunit ribosomal RNA
Source: RNAcentral
AUUGAACGCUGGCGGCAUGCCUUACACAUGCAAGUCGAACGGUAACAGGUUAAGCUGACGAGUGGCGAACGGGUGAGUAAUGUAUCGGAACGUGCCCAGUCGUGGGGGAUAACUACUCGAAAGAGUGGCUAAUACCGCAUACGACCUGAGGGUGAAAGCGGGGGACCGUAAGGCCUCGCGCGAUUGGAGCGGCCGAUAUCAGAUUAGCUAGUUGGCGGGGUAAAAGCCCACCAAGGCGACGAUCUGUAGCUGGUCUGAGAGGACGACCAGCCACACUGGGACUGAGACACGGCCCAGACUCCUACGGGAGGCAGCAGUGGGGAAUUUUGGACAAUGGACGCAAGUCUGAUCCAGCCAUGCCGCGUGCGGGAAGAAGGCCUUCGGGUUGUAAACCGCUUUUGUCAGGGAAGAAACGGGUUUCUCUAAUACAGAGACCUAAUGACGGUACCUGAAGAAUAAGCACCGGCUAACUACGUGCCAGCCGCCGCCGUAA